CGCAGAGGGUCUGCCAGGUGACAACGUUGGCUUCAACGUCAAGAACGUCUCCGUCAAGGAGAUUCGUCGUGGCAACGUCGCCGGUGACUCCAAGAACGACCCACCAAAGGGUGCCGAGUCCUUCAACGCCCAGGUCAUCGUUCUCAACCACCCUGGUCAGGUCGGUGCUGGUUACGCCCCAGUGCUCGACUGCCACACCGCA
Molecule: unclassified non-coding RNA, 202 nt
Filed under: Hevea brasiliensis (rubber tree)
Lineage: Eukaryota; Viridiplantae; Streptophyta; Magnoliopsida; Malpighiales; Euphorbiaceae
Source: RNAcentral